GACGAACGCUGGCGGCGUGCUUAACACAUGCAAGUCGAACGGUAAGGCCCUUCGGGGUACACGAGUGGCGAACGGGUGAGUAACACGUGGGUGAUCUGCCCUGCACUUCGGGAUAAGCCUGGGAAACUGGGUCUAAUACCGGAUAGGACCACUGCCUGCAUGGGUGGUGGUGGAAAGCUUUUGGGGUGUGGGAUGGGCCCGCGGCCUAUCAGCUUGUUGGUGGGGUGAUGGCCUACCAAGGCGACAACGGGUAGCCGGCCGGAGAGGGGGAGCGGCCACACUGGGACUGGGAUACGGCCCGGACUCCUGCGGGAGGCAGCCGUGGGGAGUAUUGAACAAUGGGCGCAAGCCUGAUGCAGCGACGCCGCGUGAGGGAUGACAGCCUUCGGGUUGUAAACCUCUUUCAGCACCGACUAAGCGCAAGUGACGGUAGGUGCAGAAGAAGGACCGGCCAACUACGUGCCAGCCGCCGCGGUAA
This 478-nucleotide ribosomal RNA is filed under the name uncultured bacterium. RNAcentral describes it as "partial 16S ribosomal RNA". It matches the Rfam family "Bacterial small subunit ribosomal RNA", at positions 28 to 523 of the family's 1533-position model. The record is from RNAcentral.